Cyprinus carpio (common carp) is the source of this 711-nucleotide long non-coding RNA. RefSeq lists it as uncharacterized. The record is from RefSeq and is a predicted model, not a curated record. Lineage: Eukaryota; Metazoa; Chordata; Actinopteri; Cypriniformes; Cyprinidae. The transcript has 2 exons.
CGUCAGCUCUGUACGCGUUUAUCCGGGUCCUGGAGUCUCAGCACAGACCGCGGGUGUUCGUCGCUAUUAGCUAUUAGCCAACUAGCCUUCAGCUUCCAUUGAGGACAUAGUGAAGAGUGACUGUUCAUUUGGAAAUAUGGUAGAUGCCGAGGCGAGAAUCCUAACAUGGCGGACAGAAAGGACUUCGGAAAACAACAGUUUGGUCACUUCUGUCACUAUCCAGUUACAUUACUUCAUUUCAAGGUGGAAAGAAGGCAACAUGUGCACUGUGGGAUGAGGUAGUAGGUUGUAUAGUUUUAGGGUCACACCCACACUGGGAGAUAACUAUACAGCCUACUGUCUUUCUCAAAGUGAAAACGGAGCUACGGAGUAUCUUCCUACAUUUCCUGAUGUUUAAUAUCAGUGAUAGCAUUGUCACGGUAUGUGCUGGCAAGCUGAAAUGUUUUUGAUUGUUAAAAGAGAUGGCAGUGCUUGUGCAGUGUGAGGUAGUAGAUUGUAUAGUUGUAGGGUAGUGAUUUUAUCCUGUGUAGAAGAUAACUAUACAAUCUAUUGCCUUCCCUGAGGGGCAGAAAUACACACCAAAUGAACACCGAUUUAUCUUAGAUAAUGUGAUUUCUCCUGUUUUUUUUUUUUUUUUUAAAUCAAGGUUUAAUUUUUGCUUUUGUCUAAAGUAAAUUUUUCACAAAUACAAUAAAAGUAUUUGCAAAUUUA